GACGAACGCUGGCGGCGUGCCUAAUACAUGCAAGUAGAACGCUGAAGGAGGAGCUUGCUCUUCUGGAUGAGUUGCGAACGGGUGAGUAACGCGUAGGUAACCUGCCUGGUGGCGGGGGAUAACUAUUGGAAACGAUAGCUAAUACCGCAUAACAGUAGAUGUUGCAUGACAUUUGCUUAAAAGGUGCAAUUGCACCACUACCAGAUGGACCUGCGUUGUAUUAGCUAGUUGGUGGGGUAACGGCUCACCAAGGCGACGAUACAUAGCCGACCUGAGAGGGUGAUCGGCCAAACUGGGACUGAGACACGGCCCAGACUCCUACGGGAGGCAGCAGUAGGGAAUCUUCGGCAAUGGACGGAAGUCUGACCGAGCAACGCCGCGUGAGUGAAGAAGGUUUUCGGAUCGUAAAGCUCUGUUGUAAGAGAAGAACGAGUGUGAGAGUGGAAAGUUCACACUGUGACGGUAUCUUACCAGAAAGGGACGGCUAACUACGUG
This 495-nucleotide ribosomal RNA is filed under the name uncultured bacterium. Its description in RNAcentral is "partial 16S ribosomal RNA". It matches the Rfam family "Bacterial small subunit ribosomal RNA", at positions 28 to 507 of the family's 1533-position model. The record is from RNAcentral.